This 728-nucleotide ribosomal RNA is filed under the name Escherichia coli. RNAcentral describes it as "partial 23S ribosomal RNA". It matches the Rfam family "Bacterial large subunit ribosomal RNA", at positions 462 to 1191 of the family's 2925-position model. Lineage: Bacteria; Pseudomonadati; Pseudomonadota; Gammaproteobacteria; Enterobacterales; Enterobacteriaceae. The record is from RNAcentral.
AAGGCUAAAUACUCCUGACUGACCGAUAGUGAACCAGUACCGUGAGGGAAAGGCGAAAAGAACCCCGGCGAGGGGAGUGAAAAAGAACCUGAAACCGUGUACGUACAAGCAGUGGGAGCACGCUUAGGCGUGUGACUGCGUACCUUUUGUAUAAUGGGUCAGCGACUUAUAUUCUGUAGCAAGGUUAACCGAAUAGGGGAGCCGAAGGGAAACCGAGUCUUAACUGGGCGUUAAGUUGCAGGGUAUAGACCCGAAACCCGGUGAUCUAGCCAUGGGCAGGUUGAAGGUUGGGUAACACUAACUGGAGGACCGAACCGACUAAUGUUGAAAAAUUAGCGGAUGACUUGUGGCUGGGGGUGAAAGGCCAAUCAAACCGGGAGAUAGCUGGUUCUCCCCGAAAGCUAUUUAGGUAGCGCCUCGUGAAUUCAUCUCCGGGGGUAGAGCACUGUUUCGGCAAGGGGGUCAUCCCGACUUACCAACCCGAUGCAAACUGCGAAUACCGGAGAAUGUUAUCACGGGAGACACACGGCGGGUGCUAACGUCCGUCGUGAAGAGGGAAACAACCCAGACCGCCAGCUAAGGUCCCAAAGUCAUGGUUAAGUGGGAAACGAUGUGGGAAGGCCCAGACAGCCAGGAUGUUGGCUUAGAAGCAGCCAUCAUUUAAAGAAAGCGUAAUAGCUCACUGGUCGAGUCGGCCUGCGCGGAAGAUGUAACGGGGCUAAACCAUG